RNAcentral lists this unclassified non-coding RNA (2472 nucleotides) under Polistes dominula (European paper wasp). RNAcentral describes it as "protein GPR107, transcript variant X1". Lineage: Eukaryota; Metazoa; Arthropoda; Insecta; Hymenoptera; Vespidae. The record is from RNAcentral.
GUUCCAAAGUCAGAGAGCAGUCUUUCGCGUAUUCUUAAGCGCGUGUACUGAGUUGUUCGGAUUAGGUAACGAGUUUUACGUGAUGUGACAUUUCUAUGAUCACAAACAAUUCAAAAAUGUAUUUACAAAGUUUCUUCGCUUCGUGCUUCUGGACUUUAUUAACAAUCUCAGCAGUUACAGCUAGGAUACAUAAACUUGAAAUACGGAAAGAUACUAGGCGAUAUAUUUCUCUCAGUACCUUUGGUUUUUAUAAGUAUGGUAUUCUAAACGUCAGUCUUACAAAUUUCAAUGCCGAUCCUUUUGAUAAAAAUGCAGUGUUUGGAUUCAGUUUAGACCGGACACUCAGCGAUGCAGUGAAUUCUUAUUUAGAUAGUCAUCAAGAAAGAUGCGUGCUUCAAAACCUAUCCAAUCCCAAAACAGAGUUAGAGAAGAAGGAUGACAGUGCUGUCAUAUACUUUAUAAUGGACUUAAAUAAUUUGUCUUUGAAGAUAAAUUGCAGUCGUAAUAUACAGUCUGUUCUUAUAUACAAAGAUUCCAGUUUAAUGUCAAAUUUCAGAAUGAAAAGAAAUUCAUUGCCAACAAAAUUUAGUGAUACGGCUCUAUUUCCUAGAAGGAAACGUAACACAUCUAUACACGAUAACUCGUUAGAAAAUCCUGUUAAAAAAGAGAAGCAUAUUUUCCAACCAGAUUUAAUAAAUACUUGUGAUCGUUUAACAUCGCUACCGAUGACUAUGGAAACUAUUAAGGGCAAAACAUAUUAUAACACAAGCUUUGCUAUGUACGUAGGUGAUGAAGAAGAAGAAGGUCUUUACAAUCUUUAUUUUCAUAAUUGUCCUAAUUAUAAGGGUAAUACUCAAGUUGCCUUAGAUUUUACGAUACGAAUAGCUGAAAUCAAUCGUGGAAAUUUUCUUAGUGCCGGAGAAAUGCCUCUACCAGCUUUGUACUUUAUGAUGGCUUUCUUAUUCCUCUUCUCUGGGUGCUUCUGGGUCUUCAUACUUAAGAAGAGCAAGCAUCCCGUCUUUAAAAUUCAUUACUUAAUGACAGUACUGGUAUUUCUGAAGUCUUUAUCUUUACUAUUCCACGGCAUCAAUUAUCAUUUUAUACAAACAAAAGGUGAACACGUGGCAGCGUGGGCAAUAUUGUAUUAUAUCACGCACCUGUUAAAGGGUGCUGUACUAUUCAUUACUAUCGUCCUUGUUGGCACAGGAUGGACAUUCAUUAAACAUAUUUUAGCGGACAAAGAUAAAAAGCUUUUUAUGAUCGUCAUUCCAUUGCAGGUAUUAGCAAAUGUUGCGGAAAUAAUAAUAGAAGAAGGUGAAGAAGGUGAUAUAGAGAAUCAAACUUGGCGGGACGUUUUUAUUCUCGUAGAUUUGCUUUGUUGCGGUGCUAUUUCAUUCCCUAUAGUAUGGAGUAUCAGACAUUUACAAGAAGCUGCUCACACGGAUGGCAAAGCGGCUGUCAAUUUAAGGAAACUUAAACUUUUUCGACAUUUUUAUAUCAUGAUACUUGGUUAUAUAUAUUUUACCAGAUUUAUAGCGUACUUACUUAAGAGUACAGUACCCUUCCAAUACGAAUGGUUGCACGAAAUGUCUCGUGAGAUAGCAACGUAUGUUUUCUUCAUUUUAACGGGCUACAAGUUCCGACCAGCUUCCGCGAAUCCUUAUUUUACAUUAACAACCGAUGAAGUUGAUCAAGGUGAAGAUGACGAUGAAAUGGACAUUGUCCUUUUUUCUAGCGUUAGCGGUGGCAGCGGACUUACCGAGAAUCUCAGUAAAGUUAGCAAAGUCUCCAAAGUGGUGAGGCCAACGACCUCGGAGGUUCCAUCUACUCAAGAAGAAAGAGACAGUCUUUUUAACAAAAAAGAUUCUACUCAGGAAUAUGACUGAACACAAAAACUAUACGUAAUAGGUCCAUUUUGGGUAUGCUCCAAGUGUAUAACGAUUUUGUAAAUAAUAACGGAAAAGGAGAUUAAUUCAUGAAACCAGCAAGGAUUAGAGUUUAUUAUUCACAGUUUCACAAUUUUAUAAUAGAAUUUUGUGAAACUUUCUCUAAGCAUUUAGACAAUUAUUUCGAUUAAUUUUUUUUCGCGACACGCUUAAAAAUUUUUUAAACACUCCUGCAGAAAGCUUAGGUAUGUUGUGAUAGGCGAUCCACGCCCGUGUUCUUAUUCGUCAUUUAUCUAUCGCAAUUCAAUUUUUUUUCUAUUCGCACUUUGUAAUUCUUCUAGUUAGAAAAAAUAAUUGUUAUGAAUAUUGAGAAAUAAUUGGAAACUUGAAAUAUUUCCUGUCGACGAAUUUAUUAUAAUACGUUAUUGCGAAUAAUAUUACUAUUAUUAUACUAUUAUUAUUUAUGCAAUAUAUGUAUCGUAUAUUAGUUUGGACAUUUGUUAUAGCUAAUACACUAUGUUAACAUGUAUUAAGCAGAAAAUGACAGAAAACAUAUUGAAAAAAUAAAACGGAUAUUUUUAUGAAA